Oncorhynchus keta (chum salmon) is the source of this 1650-nucleotide long non-coding RNA. RefSeq lists it as uncharacterized. The transcript has 8 exons. Lineage: Eukaryota; Metazoa; Chordata; Actinopteri; Salmoniformes; Salmonidae. The record is from RefSeq and is a predicted model, not a curated record.
AUUUACAGACAUUUAAUAAUCAGACAUGAGCAACAUACCUGAUCAAGGUCGUACCAUUAUUUUUUUUAUUGCUACCGGGCCAUACACUAGGUAGUAUCUAGUAAUAUGCCAUACACUAGAUGGUAGUAGGCCAUGCACUAGGUAGUAUCUAGUAAUAUGCCAUACACUAGAUGGUAGUAGGCCAUACACUAGGUAGUAUCUAGUAAUAUGCCAUACACUAGAUGGUAGUAGGCCAUACACUAGGUAGUAUCUAGUAAUAUGCCAUACACUAGAUGGUAGUAGGCCAUACACUAGGUAGUAUCUAGUAAUAUGCCAUACACUAGAUGGUAGUAGGCCAUACACUAGGUAGUAUCUAGUAAUAUGCCAUACACUAGAUGGUAGUAGGCCAUACACUAGGUAGUAUCUAGUAAUAUGCCAUACACUAGAUGGUAGUAGGCCAUACACUAGGUAGUAUCUAGUAAUAUGCCGUACACUAGAUGGUAGUAGGCCAUACACUAGGUAAUAUCUAGUAAUAUGCCAUACACUAGAUGGUAGUAGGCCAUACACUAGGUAGUAUCUAGUAAUAUGCCAUACACUGGAUGGUAGUAGGCCAUACACUAGGUAGUAUCUAGUAAUAUGCCAUACACUAGAUGGUAGUAGGCCAUACACUAGGUAGUAUCUAGUAAUAUGCCAUACACUAGAUGGUAGUAGGCCAUACACUAGGUAGUAUCUAGUAAUAUGCCAUACACUAGAUGGUAGUAGGCCAUACACUAGGUAGUAUCUAGUAAUAUGCCAUACACUAGAUGGUAGUAGGCCAUACACUAGGUAGUAUCUAGUAAUAUGCCAUACACUAGAUGGUAGUAGGCCAUACACUAGGUAGUAUCUAGUAAUAUGCCAUACACUAGAUGGUAGUAGGCCAUACACUAGGUAGUAUCUAGUAAUAUGCCAUACACUAGAUGGUAGUAGGCCAUACACUAGGUAGUAUCUAGUAAUAUGCCAUACACUAGAUGGUAGUAGGCCAUACACUAGGUAGUAUCUAGUAAUAUGCCAUACACUAGAUGGUAGUAGGCCAUACACUAGGUAGUAUCUAGUAAUAUGCCGUACACUAGAUGGUAGUAGGCCAUACACUAGGUAGUAUCUAGUAAUAUGCCAUACACUAGAUGGUAGUAGGCCAUACACUAGGUAGUAUCUAGUAAUAUGCCAUACACUAGAUGGUAGUAGGCCAUACACUAGGUAGUAUCUAGUAAUAUGCCAUACACUAGAUGGUAGUAGGCCAUACACUAGGUAGUAUCUAGUAAUAUGCCAUACACUAGAUGGUAGUAGGCCAUACACUAGGUAGUAUCUAGUAAUAUGCCAUACACUAGAUGGUAGUAGGCCAUACACUAGGUAGUAUCUAGUAAUAUGCCGUACACUAUAUGGUAGUAGGCCAUACACUAGGUAAUAUCUAGUAAUAGGCCAUACACUGGAUGGUAGGUAGUAGGCCAUACACUAGGUAGUAUCUAGUAAUAGGCCAUACACUGGAUGGUAGGUAGUAGGCCAUACACUAGGUAGUAUCUAGUAAUAUGCCAUAAACUAUAUGGUAGUAGGCCAUACACUAGGUAAUAUGCCUCACUCUAAAGGCGCAUUAGAUGGGCCUAGACCUUGCUGUACAGCGGCUACUAUAGCCAUCCC